AUUUAAUAAAAUAUAGGUAGUAAAUAUUAACUAAAACCUUUAUGUAAUGGCGGCAUUUCACCUUAUUAGAGGAACCUAUUUAUUAAUCGAUAAUGCACGCUAAUUUUCACUAAAUACUAAAUCUUAUAUACCCCCAUCUUAAAUCUCAAUAAAAACAUUCCUUUAUAAUAAUAUUUAUAACAAGUUAGGCCAAGGUGUAGACCAUAAUUAAGAUUAAAUUGGUUACAUUAAAUAGUAUUUAAGGAGAAAAAUGUAAACAGAUUUAAUAAAAAAGGAUUUAAAAGUAAAAUACAAAUAAUAAUUAUAUUUGAAUAAGAUUAUAAAUGUGC
This 329-nucleotide ribosomal RNA is filed under the name Perissopmeros sp. LB-2014b. RNAcentral's name for it is "partial 12S ribosomal RNA". The record is from RNAcentral. Lineage: Eukaryota; Metazoa; Arthropoda; Arachnida; Araneae; Malkaridae.